CCUACGGGAGGCAGCAGUGGGGAAUUUUGGACAAUGGGCGCAAGCCUGAUCCAGCAAUGCCGCAUGCAGGAUGAAGGCCUUCGGGUUGUAAACUGCUUUUGUACGGAACGAAACGGUUCGCUUUAAUACAGUGAGCUAAUGACGGUACCGUAAGAAUAAGCACCGGCUAACUACGUGCCAGCAGCCGCGGUAAUACGUAGGGUGCGAGCGUUAAUCGGAAUUACUGGGCGUAAAGCGUGCGCAGGCGGUGAUGUAAGACAGAUGUGAAAUCCCCGGGCUCAACCUGGGACCUGCAUUUGUGACUGCAUCGCUAGAGUACGGUAGAGGGGGAUGGAAUUCCGCGUGUAGCAGUGAAAUGCGUAGAUAUGCGGAGGAACACCGAUGGCGAAGGCAAUCCCCUGGACCUGUACUGACGCUCAUGCACGAAAGCGUGGGGAGCAAACAGGAUUAGAUACCCUGGUAGUCCACGCCCUAAACCGAUGUCAACUGGUUGUUGGGUCUUCACUGACUCAGUAACGAAGCUAACGCGUGAAGUUGACCGCCUGGGGAGUCGGCCGCAGGUUGAACGUCAAGGAUUGACGGCUUGAGAGNGCGAGGCGACGACGAGGGAGGAGG
This 615-nucleotide ribosomal RNA is filed under the name uncultured bacterium. RNAcentral describes it as "bacterial SSU rRNA". It matches the Rfam family "Bacterial small subunit ribosomal RNA", at positions 338 to 944 of the family's 1533-position model. The record is from RNAcentral.